This 309-nucleotide ribosomal RNA is filed under the name uncultured bacterium. Its description in RNAcentral is "bacterial SSU rRNA". It matches the Rfam family "Bacterial small subunit ribosomal RNA", at positions 28 to 334 of the family's 1533-position model. The record is from RNAcentral.
GACGAACGCUGGCGGCGUGCUUAACACAUGCAAGUCGAACGGGGAAUUUUGCUUCGGUAGAAUUCCUAGUGGCGAACGGGUGAGUAACACGUGAGUAACCUGCCCCAGAGUGGGGGACAACAGUUGGAAACGACUGCUAAUACCGCAUAAGCCCACAGAACCGCAUGGUUCUGGGGGAAAAGGAGCAAUUCGCUUUGGGAUGGACUCGCGUCCGAUUAGCUGGAUGGUGAGGUAACGGCCCACCAUGGCAACGAUCGGUAGCCGGACUGAGAGGUUGAUCGGCCACAUUGGGACUGAGACACGGCCCAG